Molecule: ribosomal RNA, 1485 nt
Filed under: uncultured organism
Description: SSU rRNA
Rfam family: Bacterial small subunit ribosomal RNA
Source: RNAcentral
AACGCUGGCGGCGUGCCUAAUACAUGCAAGUCGAACGCUUCUUUCCUCCCGAGUGCUUGCACUCAAUUGGAAAGAGGAGUGGCGGACGGGUGAGUAACACGUGGGUAACCUACCCAUCAGAGGGGGAUAACACUUGGAAACAGGUGCUAAUACCGCAUAACAGUUUAUGCCGCAUGGCAUAAGAGUGAAAGGCGCUUUCGGGUGUCGUUGAUGGAUGGACCCGCGGUGCAUUAGCUAGUUGGUGAGGUAACGGCUCACCAAGGCCACGAUGCAUAGCCGACCUGAGAGGGUGAUCGGCCACACUGGGACUGAGACACGGCCCAGACUCCUACGGGAGGCAGCAGUAGGGAAUCUUCGGCAAUGGACGAAAGUCUGACCGAGCAACGCCGCGUGAGUGAAGAAGGUUUUCGGAUCGUAAAACUCUGUUGUUAGAGAAGAACAAGGACGUUAGUAACUGAACGUCCCCUGACGGUAUCUAACCAGAAAGCCACGGCUAACUACGUGCCAGCAGCCGCGGUAAUACGUAGGUGGCAAGCGUUGUCCGGAUUUAUUGGGCGUAAAGCGAGCGCAGGCGGUUUCUUAAGUCUGAUGUGAAAGCCCCCGGCUCAACCGGGGAGGGUCAUUGGAAACUGGGAGACUUGAGUGCAGAAGAGGAGAGUGGAAUUCCAUGUGUAGCGGUGAAAUGCGUAGAUAUAUGGAGGAACACCAGUGGCGAAGGCGGCUCUCUGGUCUGUAACUGACGCUGAGGCUCGAAAGCGUGGGGGAGCAAACAGGAUUAGAUACCCUGGUAGUCCACGCCGUAAACGAUGAGUGCUAAGUGUUGGAGGGUUUCCGCCCUUCAGUGCUGCAGCAAACGCAUUAAGCACUCCGCCUGGGGAGUACGACCGCAAGGUUGAAACUCAAAGGAAUUGACGGGGGCCCGCACAAGCGGUGGAGCAUGUGGUUUAAUUCGAAGCAACGCGAAGAACCUUACCAGGUCUUGACAUCCUUUGACCACUCUAGAGAUAGAGCUUUCCCUUCGGGGACAAAGUGACAGGUGGUGCAUGGUUGUCGUCAGCUCGUGUCGUGAGAUGUUGGGUUAAGUCCCGCAACGAGCGCAACCCUUAUUGUUAGUUGCCAUCAUUUAGUUGGGCACUCUAGCGAGACUGCCGGUGACAAACCGGAGGAAGGUGGGGAUGACGUCAAAUCAUCAUGCCCCUUAUGACCUGGGCUACACACGUGCUACAAUGGGAAGUACAACGAGUCGCUAGACCGCGAGGUCAUGCAAAUCUCUUAAAGCUUCUCUCAGUUCGGAUUGCAGGCUGCAACUCGCCUGCAUGAAGCCGGAAUCGCUAGUAAUCGCGGAUCAGCACGCCGCGGUGAAUACGUUCCCGGGCCUUGUACACACCGCCCGUCACACCACGAGAGUUUGUAACACCCGAAGUCGGUGAGGUAACCUUUUUGGAGCCAGCCGCCUAAGGUGGGAUAGAUGAUUGGGGUGAAGUC